RNAcentral lists this ribosomal RNA (459 nucleotides) under uncultured bacterium. RNAcentral's name for it is "partial 16S ribosomal RNA". It matches the Rfam family "Bacterial small subunit ribosomal RNA", at positions 338 to 795 of the family's 1533-position model. The record is from RNAcentral.
CCUACGGGGGGCAGCAGUGAGGAAUAUUGGUCAAUGGCCGAGAGGCUGAACCAGCCAAGUCGCGUGAGGGAAGACGGCCCUACGGGUUGUAAACCUCUUUUGUCGGGGAGCAAAGCGAGUCACGUGUGACUCAUUGAGAGUACCCGAAGAAAAAGCAUCGGCUAACUCCGUGCCAGCAGCCGCGGUAAUACGGAGGAUGCGAUCGGUAUCCGGAUUUAUUGGGUUUAAAGGGUGCGCAGGCGGAGGUGCAAGUCAGCGGUCAAAUUGCGGGGCUCAACCCCGUACUGCCUCUGAGACUGUCGGGCUAGAGUGUAGUUGCGGUAGGCGGAAUGUAUGGUGUAGCGGUGAAAUGCAUAGAGAUCAUACAGAACACCGAUUGCGAAGGCAGCUUACCAAACUACGACUGACGUUGAGGCACGAAAGCGUGGGGAGCAAACAGGAUUAGAUACCCGAGUAGUC